Long non-coding RNA from Poecile atricapillus (Black-capped chickadee), 332 nucleotides. RefSeq lists it as uncharacterized. The transcript is spliced from 3 exons. The record is from RefSeq and is a predicted model, not a curated record. NCBI's taxonomy places the organism in Eukaryota, Metazoa, Chordata, Aves, Passeriformes, Paridae.
CGCCGCUGCCCCUCCGAGGUGCGCGGAGCUGCCCCGCCCCGCCCCGUCCCGUCCCGUCCCACGGCGGGGGCGAUGCUCCCCCCGCUGCGCUGCCCGCGGAUCCCUCCCUGCUGAUGCGCUUUAGACGGUUUGCCUGGUGCAGGAUCAUCCCCCGGACAGCCCCGCAUCCCGGCGGCAGCACCGAGCCUCGGCGAUGCGCUAUUUCAUUCCUGGAAAGCUCCAGCUCCAGAGAUAAAAUCUAAGUGGAUUCAGAGAACCUGAAAGGAUCGCAUGCUUCAUGGCUUUCCCUUCAGUAAUGUGGGAGAUAAACAGGAUGUAAUAAAGGAUCCGUC